This 802-nucleotide ribosomal RNA is filed under the name uncultured Paenibacillaceae bacterium. Its description in RNAcentral is "bacterial SSU rRNA". It matches the Rfam family "Bacterial small subunit ribosomal RNA", at positions 12 to 804 of the family's 1533-position model. Lineage: Bacteria; Bacillati; Bacillota; Bacilli; Caryophanales; Paenibacillaceae. The record is from RNAcentral.
UUUGAUCCUGGCUCAGGACGAACGCUGGCGGCGUGCCUAAUACAUGCAAGUCGAGCGGAUUUAUCCUUCGGGAUAAGUUAGCGGCGGACGGGUGAGUAACACGUAGGCAACCUGCCUAUAAGACUGGGAUAACUAUCGGAAACGAUAGCUAAGACCGGAUAACUGAUUUUCUCGCAUGAGAAAAUUAUGAAACACGGAGCAAUCUGUGGCUUAUAGAUGGGCCUGCGGCGCAUUAGCUAGUUGGUAGGGUAACGGCCUACCAAGGCGACGAUGCGUAGCCGACCUGAGAGGGUGAACGGCCACACUGGGACUGAGACACGGCCCAGACUCCUACGGGAGGCAGCAGUAGGGAAUCUUCCGCAAUGGACGCAAGUCUGACGGAGCAACGCCGCGUGAGUGAUGAAGGUUUUCGGAUCGUAAAGCUCUGUUGCCCUAGACGAACAGCAAGAGGAGUAACUGCCUUUUGUGUGACGGUACAGGAGAAGAAAGCCCCGGCUAACUACGUGCCAGCAGCCGCGGUAAUACGUAGGGGGCAAGCGUUGUCCGGAAUUAUUGGGCGUAAAGCGCGCGCAGGCGGUCAAUUAAGUUGGGUGUUUAAGCCCGGGGCUCAACCCCGGUUCGCAUCCAAAACUGGUCGACUUGAGUGUAGGAGAGGAAAGUGGAAUUCCACGUGUAGCGGUGAAAUACGUAGAGAUGUGGAGGAACACCAGUGGCGAAGGCGACUUUCUGGCCUAUAACUGACGCUGAGGCGCGAAAGCGUGGGGAGCAAACAGGAUUAGAUACCCUGGUAGUCCACGCCGUA